AUGCUCCCAGAUGGAAUUUUUGUCUCCAAGUUUCAGGUGCACCGAUACUGCCUGCCUGACACUGACAAGACACAGAUAAAUUGUUCUUCAUCACCAUCACCAUUGCCAUCACUGCCAUUAUCUUUUUAUAAUAUCCUCAAGGAUUCAGAACACUUGAUAUCAUUGGAAAGUUGCAAGCCUUACAUGAGGCUCUGUCCCCUUUAAGCUUAGCUUCCUCUAUCCGCAGUACAGGGCUUCUUUGAUGUGGACCUGGCCGCAGCUGGGUGAGCUGUGUGUGGCAGAAAGAGCAUGAUGCGCCGUUGCUUUUGCUGAGAAGAGAAGACCAGGAGAGAGAAGCCACACUGCAGAGGACCUUGCAGCAGUCAGGCUGCGUGAACGACACAAAUGGCGAACGGUGUGUAGAUUGCCACUUCUCUACCUUUGACAAUCUCUCUCUCUCUCUCCCCCCCUCCUCUCUCUCUCUCUCUCUCUCUCUCUCUGUGAAAGAUAUUUUGUUUUUCAUGCUGUCGCAACUGCUCUCUCAUUUCAACCAGGAUAGCUAGAGCUUGAAAUACAUUCCAGUAAGGGAAGGGCUGCAUUUGAAAACUGGGUCUUUGCAGAUAAUGUCUUAAAACCCUUCUAGUUCUGUUUUACUCCCUGGUUUUUCUGGGCAACGUCACACCUCUUGAGGACACUGGGGACAUCAGGUUUUUGCUGAGUAUGGCAUCUUCCCAUCAUCAUACAGAAGGUUUUCAGUUCAGACAAAGGUUGCCCUGAAUAAUAGGCUGCCCAGGAUUCUCUCCUCUGUACAAUCCCCACCUCAUUACCAGAUCAAACAUCCACAUUUCUGUCUUUCUUUCUUUCUGUCUGUCUUUCUUUCUGACUCACCAUAUUGUCCAAGAAACUUAUCUUGGGGACCUGUUUCUCUUUCCUCUCUAAGGAUAAAUAAUCGGUGCCAGAGACAUUGAGUUAUCCUCUGUCAGGUAAUGCGAGUUGUUUUUCACUUGCGGUUAUUCCUUAGGCAAUUAGAAGAGAGAGCUUCAGCACAGAAAUGCAGCAAGGGGAAGACAGCAAUGCUAACACUUGCAGACUAAAAACAGAUCAGAGAAGGAACGGGCAAGAAGACAGCAAUGAGCGGGGGGGGGGAGGCUCAGUGGGAGAAGAGGCAACCUGGUCAGCGCAACUCAAAGAUAAAAAAAUCUAGAAUGCAGCACAUGGUAUGUGCACUACAGUGUUCGAUGCAACAU
RNAcentral lists this long non-coding RNA (1226 nucleotides) under Pogona vitticeps (central bearded dragon). RNAcentral's name for it is "lncRNA (ENSPVIG00000017027.1)". The record is from RNAcentral. Lineage: Eukaryota; Metazoa; Chordata; Lepidosauria; Squamata; Agamidae.